Long non-coding RNA from Salvia miltiorrhiza (redroot sage), 958 nucleotides. RefSeq lists it as uncharacterized. The record is from RefSeq and is a predicted model, not a curated record. Lineage: Eukaryota; Viridiplantae; Streptophyta; Magnoliopsida; Lamiales; Lamiaceae. The transcript has 2 exons.
CAGUUUGAUACGGUGUUUAAAGGCAUAUUAGCAAAGGUAUAUGGCAAUACCCGUGUGUUUGAAAUCCUUUGCAAAUAUUCCCGAUGGCCCGGAAAAAUUCAAUAGCCCGGCCUUAAGUUACUGUUCAUGUCGGAUUACACAACUGGCGCCCCUCCUCCGAUACGUUUUCUGGCUUUUGAGAUUGAAAUCCCUCUCCCAACAUUGCCCUUGAUUUUUGUAUCCAAAAUUCGUCAAACGAGAAUUUUCACCCCCAAAUUUUUGAAGCUCUCAUUUCCGCCGACCCUCGGUUCUAAUCUAACGAAGAACACUCUCCUGCGCAGAAUCAACACACGAUGGCUCGGAGGUAACAUCUUCAUACGUGCCUCCAACUACUGGCAGGAGUAUACAUCGGAUAUAUGUGUUGAAAGAUGAAGUAGAAGCUGGGACCUCAAUCAUGACUACAACUCGACGCACUACUCGAAAAACUGCUGCCAAAGCCUCUAAUGAAUCAUAGCUCGAUGCUAAGGAAACUCCAUCAGUGGUGGCGCAGGUUAGUAGAAGGAAGGUUCAGAUGGCCUCAGCUUGUCUGAAAAUGGAUUCCGAGCCGAAGGAAUGCGUAGAUGAAGAGAAGAAGGAUUCCUUGAUGACCCCUGCUGCAGCGGGAUUUGCUAGCCAAAGAAGAAGAUUUGAGAAUGAAGGCAGCUAAAGACUGUGGUGAGAGUAUGCGUAGAUUGGAGGAGGAAAGCUUGAGAAAGCUCUCCAAAAUGUUGAAGAAGAAGAAGCUACAGAUCUUGAGCAAGCAGGACAACAAAUAUGCGUGCACCACUGAUUAUGAAAAUUUUGAUGGAAUUGUGAGGGAGAAGAGAGAAAUGAGAGUUUUGAUAUUUCAUCAAUUGUUAUUGUUGUACUUUGUAAGACACACAAGAAUUUCAAAUUUGGAAUACUGAGUUUUAAUAAAUAGCGUUGCAAUUAUAAAAAA